CCCGGUUCUCCUUCCCGCGGUCUGCAGCCGGAGUAAGAUGGCGGCGCUGAGGGCUUUGUGCGGCUUCCGGGGCGUCGCGGCCCAGGUGCUGCGGCCUGGGGCUGGAGUCCGAUUGCCGAUUCAGCCCAGCAGAGGUGUUCGGCAGUGGCAGCCAGAUGUGGAAUGGGCACAGCAGUUUGGGGGAGCUGUUAUGUACCCAAGCAAAGAAACAGCCCACUGGAAGCCUCCACCUUGGAAUGAGACAGAGUCUUGCUAUGUUGACCAGGCUGGUUUCAAACUCCUGGCCUCAGAUGUGGACCCUCCAAAGGACACAAUUGUGAAGAACAUGACCCUGAACUUUGGGCCCCAACACCCAGCAGCGCAUGGUGUCCUGCGACUAGUGAUGGAAUUGAGUGGGGAGAUGGUGCGGAAGUGUGAUCCUCACAUCGGGCUCCUGCACCGAGGCACUGAGAAGCUCAUUGAAUACAAGACCUAUCUUCAGGCCCUUCCAUACUUUGACCGGCUAGACUAUGUGUCCAUGAUGUGUAACGAACAGGCCUAUUCUCUAGCUGUGGAGAAGUUGCUAAACAUCCGGCCUCCUCCUCGGGCACAGUGGAUCCGAGUGCUGUUUGGAGAAAUCACACGUUUGUUGAACCACAUCAUGGCUGUGACCACACAUGCCCUGGACCUUGGGGCCAUGACCCCUUUCUUCUGGCUGUUUGAAGAAAGGGAGAAGAUGUUUGAGUUCUACGAGCGAGUGUCUGGAGCCCGAAUGCAUGCUGCUUAUAUCCGGCCAGGAGGAGUGCACCAGGACCUACCCCUUGGGCUUAUGGAUGACAUUUAUCAGUUUUCUAAGAACUUCUCUCUUCGACUUGAUGAGUUGGAGGAGUUGCUGACCAACAAUAGGAUCUGGCGAAAUCGGACAAUUGACAUUGGGGUUGUAACAGCAGAAGAAGCACUUAACUAUGGUUUUAGUGGAGUGAUGCUUCGGGGCUCAGGCAUCCAGUGGGACCUGCGGAAGACCCAGCCCUAUGAUGUUUACGACCAGGUUGAGUUUGAUGUUCCUGUUGGUUCUCGAGGG
Molecule: small RNA, 1060 nt
Filed under: Pan troglodytes (chimpanzee)
Lineage: Eukaryota; Metazoa; Chordata; Mammalia; Primates; Hominidae
Description: processed transcript
Source: RNAcentral